CUCUAUGGUCAUACCACCCUGAACAUGCCGGAUCUCAUUUCUUCUCAGAAACUAAGCAGGAUUGGGUCCGUUAGUACCUGGAGCAGAGAUCACCAGGGAAUACCAGGUGUUAGGCU
This is a ribosomal RNA of Marmota marmota marmota (Alpine marmot), 116 nucleotides long. The record is from Ensembl. NCBI's taxonomy places the organism in Eukaryota, Metazoa, Chordata, Mammalia, Rodentia, Sciuridae.